This 496-nucleotide ribosomal RNA is filed under the name uncultured bacterium. RNAcentral's name for it is "bacterial SSU rRNA". It matches the Rfam family "Bacterial small subunit ribosomal RNA", at positions 28 to 523 of the family's 1533-position model. The record is from RNAcentral.
GAUGAACGCUAGCGGCAGGCUUAAUACAUGCAAGUCGAGGGGCAGCAUGGGUAGCAAUACCUGAUGGCGACCGGCAAACGGGUGCGGAACACGUACGCAACCUUCCCAUAACUGGUGAAUAGCCCUCCGAAAGGAGGAUUAAUACACCGUAACAUAAUGAAGUGGCAUCACUUUAUUAUUAUAGCUCCGGCGGUUUUGGAUGGGCGUGCGCCUGAUUAGGUAGUUGGCGGGGUAACGGCCCACCAAGCCUGCGAUCAGUAAUUGGUGUGAGAGCACGACCAGUCACACGGGCACUGAGACACGGGCCCGACUCUACGGAGCAGCAGUAGGAUAUGUCAAUGGACGCAAGUCUGAACCAGCCAUGCCGCGUGAAGGAUGAAAGCCCUCUGGGUUGUAAACUUUCUUUUAUAUGGGACGAAAAAGGUAUUUUUCUAAUCAACUGACGGUACAUGUGAAUAAGCACCGGCUAACUCCGUGCCAGCAGCCGCCGCGGUAA